AUGUUGUUAUCCGCUCAUGCUGUAGAAGGUACUGCAAGCCCUGCUACAUUUUCCUUGCUUUUAAUCAUUGGUGGUUCUAAAGCAGUGGCAUUAGUGGAUAGUGACAGCUCCAACACAUUCAUGAGUUACAGUUUUGCUAUAUCUGCUAACUGUCAACUUAAUCCUACCAAAACCAGAACUGUGUCAGUAGCUACAUGGAGCUGUGAUCUUCACAAAUUGGACCUCCGGUCUGGUUAUCACCAAAUAAGGACGAACACUGCUGAUAUUCCUAAUACAGCCUUCCAGACUCAGAUGGGACACCUUGAGUUUGUGGUUAUGCCUUUUGGAUUAACCAAGACACCAGCAACCUUUCAAAAUCUUAUGAGCACAAUAUUUCAGCCAUAUCUGAGGAAAUUCAACCUAGUGUUCUUUGAUGACAUUUUGGUCUAUAGCCCAGAUUUGAAAUCUCAUGCUGAACAUUAUUUGGUUAUUGCUUUACAAGUUUCAGGCAGAACAAACUUUCGGUUAAAAGAUCUAAAUGUGAAUUUGCAACACCAACUAGUUGAAUAUUUGGGCCAUGUCAUAUCUGCUGCUGAACUUGCAACUAAUCCUAAGAAAAUAGAGGAUAUCUUGAAGUGGUGUACCGCGUACACCAUCCACAGUUUCUCAACCCAGAGGAUUCCUGGGAAUGACAGGGUAUUAUUGAAGAUUUGUGAAGAAUUAUGGUUUAAUUUGUAG
Molecule: ribosomal RNA, 717 nt
Filed under: Triticum aestivum (bread wheat)
Lineage: Eukaryota; Viridiplantae; Streptophyta; Magnoliopsida; Poales; Poaceae
Description: partial small subunit ribosomal RNA
Source: RNAcentral